UACAGAGGUGGCAAGCGUUGUUCGGAAUUACUGGGCGUAAAGGGCGCGUAGGCGGUUCGUUAAGUCCUGUGUGAAAUCCCCCGGCUCAACUGGGGAACUGCACAGGAAACUAGCGGGCUUGAGUUCGGGAGAGGGAAGCGGAAUUUCCGGUGGAGCGGUGAAAUGCGUAGAGAUCGGAAAGAACACCAACGGCGAAAGCACUCUGCUGGGCCGACACUGACACUGAGAGACGAAAGCUAGGGGAGCGAAUGGG
This 253-nucleotide ribosomal RNA is filed under the name uncultured bacterium. RNAcentral describes it as "partial 16S ribosomal RNA". It matches the Rfam family "Bacterial small subunit ribosomal RNA", at positions 524 to 776 of the family's 1533-position model. The record is from RNAcentral.